AUCCUUUGGUUCAUGAGCGUGAUGAUUGUGUGUUCAUGUCGUAUGCAUGAGAUGUGCCUCCCUCAAGCCUUGUUACGACAUCAACACAUUGUCCGUCUGAUG
This is a small nucleolar RNA of Cavia porcellus (domestic guinea pig), 102 nucleotides long. It matches the Rfam family "Small nucleolar RNA U13". Lineage: Eukaryota; Metazoa; Chordata; Mammalia; Rodentia; Caviidae. The record is from Rfam.